UACAGAGGUCUCAAGCGUUGUUCGGAUUCAUUGGGCGUAAAGGGUGCGUAGGCGGCGCGGUAAGUCGGGUGUGAAAUCUCGGAGCUUAACUCCGAAACUGCAUUCGAUACUGCCGUGCUUGAGGACUGGAGAGGAGACUGGAAUUUACGGUGUAGCGGUGAAAUGCGUAGAUAUCGUAAGGAAGACCAGUGGCGAAGGCGGGUCUCUGGACAGUUCCUGACGAUGAGGCACGAAGGUCAGGGGAGCAAACGGG
This 253-nucleotide ribosomal RNA is filed under the name uncultured bacterium. RNAcentral's name for it is "partial 16S ribosomal RNA". It matches the Rfam family "Bacterial small subunit ribosomal RNA", at positions 524 to 776 of the family's 1533-position model. The record is from RNAcentral.